Molecule: transfer RNA, 72 nt
Filed under: Ciona intestinalis (vase tunicate)
Lineage: Eukaryota; Metazoa; Chordata; Ascidiacea; Phlebobranchia; Cionidae
Rfam family: tRNA
About the family: Transfer RNA (tRNA) molecules are approximately 80 nucleotides in length.
Source: Rfam by way of RNAcentral
GGCGCCGUGGCGUAGUGGUUAGCGCGCCUGCCUGUAUGCAUUAAGUAAUGGGUUCAAGGCUCAUCGCUGCUA